This is a long non-coding RNA of Acinonyx jubatus (cheetah), 1204 nucleotides long. RefSeq lists it as uncharacterized. The record is from RefSeq and is a predicted model, not a curated record. Lineage: Eukaryota; Metazoa; Chordata; Mammalia; Carnivora; Felidae. The transcript has 4 exons.
UUCGUGUUGACAGGCAGGGAAGUGUCCACCUUAGAAAGCCUUCGAGAACUUUUCUCCCCAGGACUUCAGGGAGCCAAUACUGUAAUAACAAGAUCCAGGUUUUAUGUUUUUAACAACACGGUAACAGGAAAAAGUCUUUCUGGCAUCUCAGCCUGACGUAGGGUGGCUUCCUGGCACCCAGAGCCUCUUAUGCUGAAGGCAAAGCAGGAGCCCAAAGCGAGAUCCAGCGACCCAAGAGAGACUUCAGGCAAAGAUACGCAGAUACGCAUUGGGAAGCUGGCCGUCAUGCACCGAAGUGGAAACGUGACAGGUUCAGGAAAUCUCCGACCUAGGAGUCACCGCUCAUCCAGGGGUCUGUGAAGAAGGAAGAAGAAUCAGCACCCUCUUCCAGUUCAUGGAGAGAUGUGGAAAGCUGAGUAAUAUUUGCCAAAGGAUAAGUGCCUCCUAUUCAUUCUAUUCUAACGUAAGCUCCUGAGAACCAAACUGUAAAACUCUGUCACAAGUGAAAAUAAAAAGAGUAAAAACAUGAUAGAAAUCCAAAUCCACACCACCCAUGAAAUGAAGGUUGCGAUUUCACCUUGGUCAUUAGACCACAUAACCUUAUACUUACCAACAGGCCUUUUCACUUUCCUCGUUCCUAUGCCUCUGUCACACCCUUAACCACAUGCCAUCUGCCUAAAAGCAGACUGAGGAGAUUGUCAUGCUAAGAUAAUGAGAUAAAAGUCAAGACAUAUAAAGUACUACAGAAUCCUUAGAAAUUAGAGGUAAUAUCCACCUGGGGUGAUAAAGAAAGAGUUCAUAAAAAUGAUAUUUUCAGAGAUAAGAAGAGUGAAGUUCAACAAACAGAGAUGAGAUGACUGAGAAAGGACAUUAUAGAAAGAGAGAAUAUGAGUAAAAACGUGAAGGUCAAAAAUGAGGGACACAAGUAAGAAAGGCUAUGGCUCUCUUCCACUUUCCCUCCACGUAUUUCAUCAACCUUUAAUCGUCUCUAUUAGACUCUUUCAACCUGCUUAUCUCUCCAACCUGCUUAACAUUCAAUUCUCUGUAUCAUUAUUCUCAUUUAUACCCUCAGUACCUUUCUCCACCUAGACUAUUGUGACAAUAUUCUACCCACUUCCUCAUUUUUGGAUAAAUCUACUCACUGCUCAGUUUCACAUAGAUUAAAAGCAGGAUUGGAUCGCCCAAUGCCUACUGAAUAAAGCCC